CUGAGAGGAUGACCAGCCACACUGGAACUGAGACACGGUCCAGACUCCUACGGGAGGCAGCAGUGGGGAAUAUUGCACAAUGGGCGCAAGCCUGAUGCAGCCAUGCCGCGUGUAUGAAGAAGGCCUUCGGGUUGUAAAGUACUUUCAGCGGGGAGGAAGGGAGUAAAGUUAAUACCUUUGCUCAUUGACGUUACCCGCAGAAGAAGCACCGGCUAACUCCGUGCCAGCAGCCGCGGUAAUACGGAGGGUGCAAGCGUUAAUCGGAAUUACUGGGCGUAAAGCGCACGCAGGCGGUUUGUUAAGUCAGAUGUGAAAUCCCCGGGCUCAACCUGGGAACUGCAUCUGAUACUGGCAAGCUUGAGUCUCGUAGAGGGGGGUAGAAUUCCAGGUGUAGCGGUGAAAUGCGUAGAGAUCUGGAGGAAUACCGGUGGCGAAGGCGGCCCCC
Molecule: ribosomal RNA, 445 nt
Filed under: Escherichia coli
Lineage: Bacteria; Pseudomonadati; Pseudomonadota; Gammaproteobacteria; Enterobacterales; Enterobacteriaceae
Also listed under: 1 other name
Description: bacterial SSU rRNA
Rfam family: Bacterial small subunit ribosomal RNA
Source: RNAcentral